Gossypium hirsutum (cotton) is the source of this 135-nucleotide non-coding RNA. The record is from Rfam. NCBI's taxonomy places the organism in Eukaryota, Viridiplantae, Streptophyta, Magnoliopsida, Malvales, Malvaceae.
UGUUAAAAAUUUCAUCCAUUUCUACUAUUAAAAAUUGGUAUGCCUUGUAGAAUAACACAACAGCUACACAUGGCUGCCAUGUGCUGAUAUAUAGAGAUUAGUUUUUAACUGUAGAAAUUAAUGAAAUUUUUAACA